RNAcentral lists this ribosomal RNA (497 nucleotides) under uncultured bacterium. RNAcentral's name for it is "partial 16S ribosomal RNA". It matches the Rfam family "Bacterial small subunit ribosomal RNA", at positions 28 to 507 of the family's 1533-position model. The record is from RNAcentral.
GAUGAACGCUGGCGGCGUGCCUAAUACAUGCAAGUCGAGCGAACAGACGAGGAGCUUGCUCCUCUGACGUUAGCGGCGGACGGGUGAGUAACACGUGGAUAACCUACCUAUAAGACUGGGAUAACUUCGGGAAACCGGAGCUAAUACCGGAUAAUAUAUUGAACCGCAUGGUUCAAUAGUGAAAGACGGUUUUGCUGUCACUUAUAGAUGGAUCCGCGCCGCAUUAGCUAGUUGGUAAGGUAACGGCUUACCAAGGCAACGAUGCGUAGCCGACCUGAGAGGGUGAUCGGCCACACUGGAACUGAGACACGGUCCAGACUCCUACGGGAGGCAGCAGCAGGGACUCUUCCGCAAUGGGCGAAAGCCUGACGGAGCAACGCCGCGUGAGUGAUGAAGGUCUUCGGAUCGUAAAACUCUGUUAUUAGGGAAGAACAAAUGUGUAAGUAACUAUGCACGUCUUGACGGUACCUAAUCAGAAAGCCACGGCUAACUACGUG